CCAAUAGCGUAUAUUAAAGUUGCUGCAGUUAAAAAGCUCGUAGUUGAAUUUCGGGACUAAUAUGUCGGUCGUGCCUCGGUACGUACUGGCUUCUUUGGUUUCUCCCUUCUGAAGAACCAUGAUGUCAUUCAUUUGGUGUCGUGGGGAAUCAGGACUGUUACUUUGAAAAAAUUAGAGUGUUUAAAGCAGGCUAACGCUUGAAUACAUUAGCAUGAAAUAAUGAAAUAGGACGAUUGAUUAUAUUUUGUUGGUUUCUAGGAUCGACGUAAUGAUUAAUAGGGAUAGUUGGGGGCAUUAGUAUUCAAUUGUCAGAGGUGAAAUUCUUGGAUUUAUUGAAGACUAACUACUGCGAAAGCAUUUGCCAAGGAUGUUUUCAUUAAUCAAGAACGAAAGUUAGGGGAUCGAAGACGAUCAGAUACCGUCGUAGUCUUAACCAUAAACUAUGCCGACUAGGGAUCGGACGAUGUUAAUUUUUUAAUGACUCAUUCGGCGCCUUACG
Molecule: ribosomal RNA, 499 nt
Filed under: uncultured Glomeromycotina
Lineage: Eukaryota; Fungi; Glomeromycota
Description: partial small subunit ribosomal RNA
Rfam family: Eukaryotic small subunit ribosomal RNA
Source: RNAcentral